UACGUAGGUGACAAGCGUUGUCCGGAUUUACUGGGCGUAAAGAGCGCGCAGGCGGUCGUUCAAGUCGAGUGUGAAAGCCCCCGGCUCAACUGGGGAGGGUCAUUCGAAACUGGUCGACUCGAAGGCAGGAGAGGUAGUGGAAUUCCCGGUGUAGUGGUGAAAUGCGUAGAUAUCGGGAGGAACACCAGUGGCGAAGGCGACUACCUGGCCUGUUCUUGACGCUGAGGCGCGAAAGCUAGGGGAGCAAACGGG
Molecule: ribosomal RNA, 252 nt
Filed under: uncultured bacterium
Lineage: Bacteria
Description: partial 16S ribosomal RNA
Rfam family: Bacterial small subunit ribosomal RNA
Source: RNAcentral